UGGCGAACGGGUGAGGAACGCGUGGACAACCUACCCCGGCGUGGGGGAUACCCGCCAGAAAUGGCGGCUAAUACCGCGUACGGUUCCCCGGCGGAGGGCUGGGGAAAGAAAGCAGCGAUGCGCGCUGGGAGGGGUCUGCGGCCGAUUAGCUUGUUGGCGGGGUAACGGCCCACCAAGGCGAUGAUCGGUAGCUGGUCUGAGAGGAUGAUCAGCCACACGGGGACUGAGACACGGCCCCG
This 239-nucleotide ribosomal RNA is filed under the name uncultured bacterium. RNAcentral describes it as "partial 16S ribosomal RNA". It matches the Rfam family "Bacterial small subunit ribosomal RNA", at positions 96 to 334 of the family's 1533-position model. The record is from RNAcentral.